Molecule: unclassified non-coding RNA, 230 nt
Filed under: Hevea brasiliensis (rubber tree)
Lineage: Eukaryota; Viridiplantae; Streptophyta; Magnoliopsida; Malpighiales; Euphorbiaceae
Source: RNAcentral
GGUGUCGGUUCUAAUUCUUGUUAUCCAACUCUUUUCCAUGGAAAGCAAGUUGGCUAUUAAAGGUGCCCAAAAAUAGUCCCCCUUUCCUUUAGGGUAGUUUAUUUGUGAGAAUAUAAUUGUGGAUGACAUAAUGAAAGAGGCUAUUGCUUGGUUAAUUGAUGUUGUCCUUGAAAGAGACAUUGGUGGUUGGGUGCAACUGUUGUUUCUUCAUUGUGAAUGAAUUAGAAUUC